RNAcentral lists this ribosomal RNA (614 nucleotides) under uncultured bacterium. Its description in RNAcentral is "bacterial SSU rRNA". It matches the Rfam family "Bacterial small subunit ribosomal RNA", at positions 338 to 951 of the family's 1533-position model. The record is from RNAcentral.
CCUACGGGAGGCAGCAGUAAGGAAUAUUGGUCAAUGGACGAAAGUCUGAACCAGCCAUGCCGCGUGAAGGAUGAAGGCCCUCUGGGUUGUAAACUUCUUUUAUCUGGGACGAAAAAAGCUCAUUCUUGAGCACUUGACGGUACCAGAGGAAUAAGCACCGGCUAACUCCGUGCCAGCAGCCGCGGUAAUACGGAGGGUGCAAGCGUUAUCCGGAUUCACUGGGUUUAAAGGGUGCGUAGGUGGGUCUGUAAGUCAGUGGUGAAAUCUCCGAGCUUAACUCGGAAACUGCCAUUGAUACUAUAGGUCUUGAAUCAUCUGGAGGUAAGCGGAAUAUGUCAUGUAGCGGUGAAAUGCUUAGAUAUGACGUAGAACACCAAUUGCGAAGGCAGCUUACUACGGGUGCAUUGACACUGAGGCACGAAAGCGUGGGGAUCAAACAGGAUUAGAUACCCUGGUAGUCCACGCCCUAAACGAUGGAUACUCGACAUCAGCGAUACACUGUUGGUGUCUGAGCGAAAGCAUUAAGUAUCCCACCUGGAAGUACGACCGCAAGGUUGAAACGUCAAAUGAAUUGACGGCGUAGAGACGCGACGAGGACACGAGGAGGGGAGAGG